RNAcentral lists this ribosomal RNA (482 nucleotides) under Staphylococcus aureus. RNAcentral's name for it is "bacterial SSU rRNA". It matches the Rfam family "Bacterial small subunit ribosomal RNA", at positions 1048 to 1530 of the family's 1533-position model. Lineage: Bacteria; Bacillati; Bacillota; Bacilli; Caryophanales; Staphylococcaceae. The record is from RNAcentral.
GUUGUCGUCAGCUCGUGUCGUGAGAUGUUGGGUUAAGUCCCGCAACGAGCGCAACCCUUAAGCUUAGUUGCCAUCAUUAAGUUGGGCACUCUAAGUUGACUGCCGGUGACAAACCGGAGGAAGGUGGGGAUGACGUCAAAUCAUCAUGCCCCUUAUGAUUUGGGCUACACACGUGCUACAAUGGACAAUACAAAGGGCAGCGAAACCGCGAGGUCAAGCAAAUCCCAUAAAGUUGUUCUCAGUUCGGAUUGUAGUCUGCAACUCGACUACAUGAAGCUGGAAUCGCUAGUAAUCGUAGAUCAGCAUGCUACGGUGAAUACGUUCCCGGGUCUUGUACACACCGCCCGUCACACCACGAGAGUUUGUAACACCCGAAGCCGGUGGAGUAACCUUUUAGGAGCUAGCCGUCGAAGGUGGGACAAAUGAUUGGGGUGAAGUCGUAACAAGGUAGCCGUAUCGGAAGGUGCGGCUGGAUCACCUCC